GCCGAACCGUGCGAACGUUAUUCGGAAUCACUGGGCUUAAAGCGCGUGUAGGCGGGGCGGCACGUCGGCCGCUGAAAUCCCCCGGCUCAACCGGGGAAGUGGCGCCGAUACGACCGGCCUGGAGGGGGGUAGGGGGAGCCGGAACUUCCGGUGGAGCGGUGAAAUGCGUUGAGAUCGGAAGGAACGCCCGUGGCGAAAGCGGGCUCCUGGACCCCACCUGACGCUGAGACGCGAAAGCCAGGGGAGCGAACGGG
This 254-nucleotide ribosomal RNA is filed under the name uncultured bacterium. RNAcentral's name for it is "partial 16S ribosomal RNA". It matches the Rfam family "Bacterial small subunit ribosomal RNA", at positions 524 to 776 of the family's 1533-position model. The record is from RNAcentral.